Molecule: unclassified non-coding RNA, 336 nt
Filed under: soil metagenome
Description: partial contains 5.8S ribosomal RNA, internal transcribed spacer 2, and large subunit ribosomal RNA
Rfam family: 5.8S ribosomal RNA (bases 1-120)
Source: RNAcentral
GAUGAAGAACGCAGCGAAAUGCGAUAAGUAGUGUGAAUUGCAGAAUUCAGUGAAUCAUCGAAUCUUUGAACGCACAUUGCGCCCCUUGGUAUUCCAUGGGGCAUGCCUGUUCGAGCGUCAUUUGUACCUUCAAGCUCUGCUUGGUGUUGGGUGUUUGUCUCGCCUCUGCGUGUAGACUCGCCUUAAAACAAUUGGCAGCCGGCGUAUUGAUUUCGGAGCGCAGUACAUCUCGCGCUUUGCACUCAUAACGACGACGUCCAAAAGUACAUUUUUACACUCUUGACCUCGGAUCAGGUAGGGAUACCCGCUGAACUUAAGCAUGUCAAUAAGCGAGGA